GAUUUUACACAUGAUAGCCAAGUUGAAAUUUUUGUCACAUUUUUUCUCAGGAACUACAAUACAAGGAUUUCUGAAAUUUGGUUUCAGGAUUUAUAUAAGUCAGCUAUACCGUGUGAUGCGUUUUCAGAUUCAUCACUCGACAACUUCCUGUUUACCGAACACUUGUAUGAUUUUACACAUGAUAGCCAAGUUGAAAAUUUUCGUCACAUUUUUCUCAGGAACUACAAUACAAGGAUUUCUGAAAUUUGAUUUCAGGAUUUAUAUAAGUCAGCUAUACCGUGUGAUGCGUUUUCAGAUUCAUCACUCGACAACUUCCUGUUUACCGAACACUUGCAUAUUUUUACACUAUUAAUAUUAUCCACUUGCGGCGGGGGUAUCAUCAGUGAGCAGUAGCUCGCAGUUUCACUUGUUGUUUUUGAUUUACA
Molecule: long non-coding RNA, 425 nt
Filed under: Mytilus galloprovincialis (Mediterranean mussel)
Lineage: Eukaryota; Metazoa; Mollusca; Bivalvia; Mytilida; Mytilidae
Source: RNAcentral